This is a long non-coding RNA of Telopea speciosissima, 167 nucleotides long. RefSeq lists it as uncharacterized. The transcript is spliced from 3 exons. Lineage: Eukaryota; Viridiplantae; Streptophyta; Magnoliopsida; Proteales; Proteaceae. The record is from RefSeq and is a predicted model, not a curated record.
AGAUCUUUCUCUAAAAAAAUGUCGAAGUUAAUCUAUUUAUACCACAUUCAAUACAUUUCAGAAACACAGCACCCCCAGGAGAGUAAGCAAUCACAUUGACCCAAGACCUCUUCUUUAUGUCAGUCCAAGAAUCAGACAUAAUUGCGCAACCUAUGAUACCCCAUGUC